Small nuclear RNA from Fukomys damarensis (Damara mole-rat), 106 nucleotides. The record is from Ensembl. Lineage: Eukaryota; Metazoa; Chordata; Mammalia; Rodentia; Bathyergidae.
GUGCUUACUUUGCAUUACAUAUACUAAAAUUAGAACAAUACAGAGAAGAUUAACAUAGCCCAUGCACAAAGAUGACACACAAAAUCAUGAAGUGUUCCAUAUUUUA